Molecule: non-coding RNA, 28 nt
Filed under: Gallus gallus (chicken)
Lineage: Eukaryota; Metazoa; Chordata; Aves; Galliformes; Phasianidae
Also listed under: 1 other name
Source: RNAcentral
UUAGGAUUCGGCGCUCUCACCGCCGCGG